This is a non-coding RNA of Oryza glaberrima (African rice), 72 nucleotides long. NCBI's taxonomy places the organism in Eukaryota, Viridiplantae, Streptophyta, Magnoliopsida, Poales, Poaceae. The record is from Rfam.
GGGUGUUUGGUCUAGUGGUAUGAUUCUCGCUUCGGGUGCGAGAGGUCGGGAGUUCGAUUCUCCCAACACCCC